RNAcentral lists this ribosomal RNA (468 nucleotides) under uncultured bacterium. RNAcentral's name for it is "partial 16S ribosomal RNA". It matches the Rfam family "Bacterial small subunit ribosomal RNA", at positions 28 to 507 of the family's 1533-position model. The record is from RNAcentral.
GACGAACGCUGGCGGCGUGCUUAACACAUGCAAGUCGAACGGGAAGGCCCUGCUUUUGUGGGGUGCUCGAGUGGCGAACGGGUGAGUAACACGUGAGUAACCUGCCCUUGACUUUGGGAUAACUUCAGGAAACUGGGGCUAAUACCGGAUAGGAGCUCCUGCUGCAUGGUGGGGGUUGGAAAGUUUCGGCGGUUGGGGAUGGACUCGCGGCUUAUCCGCUUGUUGGUGGGGUAGUGGCUUACCAAGGCUUUGACGGGUCGCCGGCCUGAGAGGGUGACCGGCCACAUUGGGACUGAGAUACGGCCCAGACUCCUACGGGAGGCAGCAGUGGGGAAUAGUGCACUAUGGGCUGAAGCCUAAUGCAGCAACGCCGCGUGCGGGAUGACGGCAUGCGGUUUGUAAACCGCUUUCGCCUGUGACGAAGCGUGAGUGACGGUAAUGGGUAAAGAAGCACCGGCUAACUACGUG